AAGUAAUUGUGUUACGUGGAGAAUCACUUCAUUUUAAUUCAUCUACAUGUAGAAAUGAGAGAAAAUAUAUAUGUCUCUCAGAAGACGACGGCGGCGCACUUGUAUGGAAUGACAACUUACUUUAUAAUCAAUAUCAGCGAGAAAAUCCUACUGACUUGAAGUUUUACAGUACACAUCUAUACAAUACCUGGAUAAAUUGCAGUUUUAACGCAAAAAUAAAAUGUUUACAAUCACAACCUCGAAUAAGCACGGAACCACCAUCACUACAAGGCUUCUACUUACUAAAAGAUUGGAAAAAUUGCACACUGUACACAACAAUAAGCUGUUUAGAUUUAUGGGAUCGAAAAAACUAGAGUCUUACAAAUGCUACGAGAACACCUAUGGGUCCCGUAUUUGAUCAAAGAUGGGAAGAAUUUGAAGGCUCAAGCCCACCUACCAUCAAAAUUCCUUUGUCUUCCACAACAACUAUAAAAAAUAUUCCAAAAGCAGGAGCG
Pseudomyrmex gracilis is the source of this 494-nucleotide long non-coding RNA. RefSeq lists it as uncharacterized. NCBI's taxonomy places the organism in Eukaryota, Metazoa, Arthropoda, Insecta, Hymenoptera, Formicidae. The transcript is spliced from 3 exons. The record is from RefSeq and is a predicted model, not a curated record.